GAUGAACGCUGGCGGCGUGCCUAAUACAUGCAAGUCGAGCGAACAGACGAGGAGCUUGCUCCUCUGACGUUAGCGGCGGACGGGUGAGUAACACGUGGAUAACCUACCUAUAAGACUGGGAUAACUUCGGGAAACCGGAGCUAAUACCGGAUAAUAUAUUGAACCGCAUGGUUCAAUAGUGAAAGACGGUUUUGCUGUCACUUAUAGAUGGAUCCUCGCCGCAUUAGCUAGUUGGUAAGGUAACGGCUUACCAAGGCAACGAUGCGUAGCCGACCUGAGAGGGUGAUCGGCCACACUGGAACUGAGACACGGUCCAGACUCCUACGGGAGGCAGCAGUAGGGAAUCUUCCGCAAUGGGCGAAAGCUUGACGGAGCAACGCCGCGUGAGUGAUGAAGGUCUUCGGAUCGUAAAACUCUGUUAUUAGGGAAGAACAAAUGUGUAAGUAACUAUGCACGUCUUGACGGUACCUACUCAGAAAGCCACGGCUAACUACGUG
RNAcentral lists this ribosomal RNA (497 nucleotides) under uncultured bacterium. RNAcentral describes it as "partial 16S ribosomal RNA". It matches the Rfam family "Bacterial small subunit ribosomal RNA", at positions 28 to 507 of the family's 1533-position model. The record is from RNAcentral.